UACGUAGGGUGCGAGCGUUGUCCGGAAUUAUUGGGCGUAAAGGGCUCGUAGGCGGUUUGUCGCGUCGGGAGUGAAAACCCAGGGCUUAACCCUGGGCUGGCUUUCGAUACGGGCAGACUAGAGGUAUGCAGGGGAGAACGGAAUUCCUGGUGUAGCGGUGAAAUGCGCAGAUAUCAGGAGGAACACCGGUGGCGAAGGCGGCAUCCUGGACCGGUAUUGACGCUGAGGCGCGAAAGCUAGGGGAGCAAACGGG
Molecule: ribosomal RNA, 253 nt
Filed under: uncultured bacterium
Lineage: Bacteria
Description: partial 16S ribosomal RNA
Rfam family: Bacterial small subunit ribosomal RNA
Source: RNAcentral